RNA transcript from Syngnathus typhle (broad-nosed pipefish), 1767 nucleotides. It is a transcript of the gene named HCLS1 associated protein X-1, with no coding region annotated. Lineage: Eukaryota; Metazoa; Chordata; Actinopteri; Syngnathiformes; Syngnathidae. The transcript is spliced from 7 exons. The record is from RefSeq and is a predicted model, not a curated record.
CUUUACGACACUGUUGGCAAUCGUAAAGCAAACUACACGCUUAUUUUCCACAGUCAACGCGUCGUAGUAAUGCGUUAAAUUACCUUUUUUCCUUUUUUUAAAAAAUCAAGCUUGACUCAAUGAGCGUUUUUGAUCUAUUUCGCGGCUUCUUUGGCGUUCCCGGUGGCCAUUUUCGUGGGCGAAGGGACCCCUUCUUUGAUUCCAUGACCCGGGAUGAAGAUGACGAUGACGAAGAUGAUUCCUUCUACUAUGAUGGCUUCCGGGGGGACGGGCAGGACCCCUUUGACAGCGCUCUGAAAUUCGGCUUCAGCUUCAGUCCCGACGGGAUGAGAAUCCAAGAACCGCCACUGUUUGGCCAGGUCCUCAGGGAGAUGGAGGAGAUCUUUUCCCAGCUGGGUCGCUGGGACUCACAUUCUGGUAAUGCUGACAUUUUAGGGAUUACAAUUGGGAAAUAUUUUGAGCUGUCAUUAUUUAUUGUAGGUAUUCCCAGCAUUGCGCCACCGCCACGGCAGGAGGGAAGUCGUGGAUCCAGCGGUAACCCCUUGAGAGACUUCAUGCUCAAAUCUCCUGAUAGUGACAGCCAGAGGAGAACUGAUAUCCAUCCUUCCUAUGAGUCCCCACAUUUCCCAGGCGUCACCCCUUUUUCUAAAUUCAAUGAUGUCUGGAGACAAAGGCUGCAGAAAAUUCCAACAGACGAGCGUAAAGAAGACAAAGACCUGGACUCUGCCGUGUCCUCUGGUGGUUUGGAUCAGAUUCUGAGGCCGCCCGCCGAUCAGUUGCCGAGUCAGCAGCCUCGAAGCAGGUCCUUCUUCCAGUCCGUGACUGUCACCAAAGUGCUGAAACCUGAUGGGACAAUGGAGGAGCGGCGCACGGUCAGAGAUGGCAAAGGCAACGAAGAGACCACCGUGACCCGCUCAGGAGGCCGUAGUGGUCAGGAGGGACCAGGACUUCAUACCGGACCUGCCCUACCAGGUUCAUCAUUUUCAGACAUGCCGGACGACGACAGCGACUUCUUCUCAAAGCUUUUCGGAGGCUUUAAAUGACUUGAUUAUAACACACGCAAUUUAUUUACGUUGUAGAGUGGUUGCAAGCCGAUGCCGCGAGAAUUUGUACUGCAAGCGGGAUCGAAUGAUCACGCUGUAGCUUAGCCACCAACCCACUUUAGACACCACGAGCGAGCUGAUGAGAGGAGCAGCAAUCGGGCACGGCUGCCAGCAGGUGAGGAAACUUUUUUCCCCCCUCAACCGUCUGAAGGAUAGUUUUUGGUGUCGCACACAAAAAACAUGGCGGAGCAGCCUAUCCACCGCACGCUUUUUCGUUUGUUCAAAACAGAUCCAAUUUGGAGUCUCUUUUUAACAUUUAUUUGAAAACUGCACAAAAGUGAGUGUAUGGCGUAUACAGCAAGCAGACCACAACCAUGGGGAAAGAAAACUUGAACGUUCCACUAUUAUCAUCCAUCUAUAUAAAUAUGAUAUGACACAUGUAUAAAAAGAUAAAAACAAGACAAUGUUUUUUUUGUUUGUUUCCCCCCCCCAAAUGUUAGAAAAGAAACGCGAGUAUUGAUAGACAUUGAUUUCUUCUUAGUGGGGUGCUUGUUUGAUAUUUAGAAUAAAAAGGAACAGUACAGUACAAACACUACAUGUAUUCACAUUAUCAUAGCAAGUUAUGUUUUCUUGUAGUGUAAUUAUGUAUUUACAUCACAAAAAUCACAUACUAGCCCCUUCCUCUUCCUUCUAAUGUCUUACUGAACACCAACAUCACAAAUGA